CAUUAUGGUAGGGUGAAAGUGGGGACGCCUCUGUGCGUACUGGUUCUUGAGUCAGUCUGCUACUCCACUUUUGUCCUGUCACCA
This 84-nucleotide non-coding RNA is filed under the name Acinetobacter baumannii ATCC 17978. The record is from RNAcentral. RNAcentral also lists the same sequence under 1 other name. Lineage: Bacteria; Pseudomonadati; Pseudomonadota; Gammaproteobacteria; Moraxellales; Moraxellaceae.